CAGGUACUCCUGGACUUCUUUAGGGACUUCCGGUUCCUGUCAGAUGAGGUUUUCAUGGUCACUGCUGUUCACUUCCUGCUCCAGGACGAACGUCUGAACAAUAUUUAUAGCCUUAGCUCAUCUGAGCACAGGAGUUUUCUCAUCGAAACUGCAUUUAUUUGAUCAAAAGUACAGAUCGGCACUUCGGAGCAUGUUCGCGACUCGGUUGAUUCAGAUCGGCACUUCGGAGCCUGUUCGCGACUCGGUUGAUACAGAUCAGCACUUCGGAGCAUGUUGGCGACUCGGUUGAUUCAGAUCGGCACUUCGGAGGCCUGUUCGCGACUCGGUUGAUUCAGAUCGGCACGUCGGAGCCUGUUCGCGACUCCGUUGAUUCAGAUCGGCACUUCGGAGCCUGUACGCGACUCCGUUGAUUCAGAUCGGCACUUCGGAGCCUGUAAGCGACUCCGUUGAUUCAGAUCGGCACUUCGGAGCCUGUAAGCGACUCCGUUGAUUCAGAUCGGCACUUCGGAGCCUGUAAGCGACUCCGUUGAUUCAGAUCGGCACUUCGGAGCUUGUUCGCGACUCGGUUGAUUCAGAUCGGCACUUCGGAGCUUUUUCGCGACUCGGUUGAUUCAGAUCGGCACUUCGGAGCUUUUUCGCGACUCGGUUGAUUCAGAUCGGGACUUCGGAGCCUGUUCGCGACUCGGUUGAUUCAGAUCGGGACUUCGGAGCCUGUUUGUGAUUUUUUAAAAUUCAGAUCUGGACAUCGGAGCAGGAAGUUUUUGUCAAACAGUUCAUUGGUGAUAAAUGAAUAUUUGGACCUGAACCUUUUUUUUUUUUUUUUUGUCGAUUUGAUUUUUCAAUGAUUUCAAUGACUUUUGAAAGUAAAGCCUUCUUUUACCUCAGUUGCAUGUG
Carassius gibelio (silver crucian carp) is the source of this 894-nucleotide long non-coding RNA. RefSeq lists it as uncharacterized. The record is from RefSeq and is a predicted model, not a curated record. NCBI's taxonomy places the organism in Eukaryota, Metazoa, Chordata, Actinopteri, Cypriniformes, Cyprinidae. The transcript has 3 exons.